CCUACGGGAGGCUGCAGUGGGGAAUAUUGGACAAUGGGGCAACCCUGAUCCAGCCAUGCCGCGUGUGUGAAGAAGGCCCUCGGGUUGUAAAGCACUUUCAGUGAGGAAGAACGCCUGGUGGUUAAUACCCAUCAGGAAAGACAUCACUCACAGAAGAAGCACCGGCUAACUCCGUGCCAGCAGCCGCGGUAAUACGGAGGGUGCGAGCGUUAAUCGGAAUUACUGGGCGUAAAGCGCGCGUAGGUGGCUUGAUAAGCCGGUUGUGAAAGCCCCAGGCUCAACCUGGGAACGGCAUCCGGAACUGUCAAGCUAGAGUGCAGGAGAGGAAGGUAGAAUUCCCGGUGGAGCGGUGAAAUGCGUAGAGAUCGGGAGGAAUACCAGUGGCGAAGGCGGCCUUCUGGACUGACACUGACACUGAGGUGCGAAAGCGUGGGUAGCAAACAGGAUUAGAUACCCUAGUAGUA
Molecule: ribosomal RNA, 464 nt
Filed under: Vreelandella stevensii
Lineage: Bacteria; Pseudomonadati; Pseudomonadota; Gammaproteobacteria; Oceanospirillales; Halomonadaceae
Description: partial 16S ribosomal RNA
Rfam family: Bacterial small subunit ribosomal RNA
Source: RNAcentral